ACGGUUAUAAAUCAACAUAUUGAUUUAUAAGCAUGGAAAUCCCUGAGUGAAACAACGAAUUGCUGUGUGUAGUCUUUGCCCAUCUCCCACGAUGGGCUUUUUAACAU
This 107-nucleotide non-coding RNA is filed under the name Escherichia coli. Its description in RNAcentral is "antisense sRNA RprA". It matches the Rfam family "RprA RNA". Rfam says of the family: Translational regulation of the stationary phase sigma factor RpoS is mediated by the formation of a double-stranded RNA stem-loop structure in the upstream region of the rpoS messenger RNA, occluding the translation initiation site. Clones carrying rprA (RpoS regulator RNA A) increased the translation of RpoS. The rprA gene encodes a 106 nucleotide regulatory RNA. The record is from RNAcentral. Lineage: Bacteria; Pseudomonadati; Pseudomonadota; Gammaproteobacteria; Enterobacterales; Enterobacteriaceae.